Molecule: ribosomal RNA, 425 nt
Filed under: uncultured bacterium
Lineage: Bacteria
Description: partial 16S ribosomal RNA
Rfam family: Bacterial small subunit ribosomal RNA
Source: RNAcentral
GUGGGGAAUAUUGGACAAUGGGCGCAAGCCUGAUCCAGCCAUGCCGCGUGAGUGAUGAAGGCCCUAGGGUUGUAAAGCUCUUUCACCGGUGAAGAUAAUGACGGUAACCGGAGAAGAAGCCCCGGCUAACUUCGUGCCAGCAGCCGCGGUAAUACGAAGGGGGCUAGCGUUGUUCGGAAUUACUGGGCGUAAAGCGCACGUAGGCGGACAUUUAAGUCAGGGGUGAAAUCCCGGGGCUCAACCCCGGAACUGCCUUUGAUACUGGGUGUCUGGAGUAUGGAAGAGGUAAGGGGAAUUCCGAGUGUAGAGGUGAAAUUCGUAGAUAUUCGGAGGAACACCAGUGGCGAAGGCGGCUUACUGGUCCAUUACUGACGCUGAGGUGCGAAAGCGUGGGGAGCAAACAGGAUUAGAAACCCUAGUAGUCC